CAGCCGCCGCGGUAAUACGAAGGUCCCGAGCGUUGUUCGGAAUCACUGGGCGUAAAGGGAGCGUAGGCGGCGUGGUAAGUCAGAUGUGAAAUCCCGGGGCUCAACCCCGGAACUGCAUCCGAUACUGCCGUGCUAGAGGAUUGGAGAGGUAGCUGGAAUUCUUGGUGUAGCAGUGAAAUGCGUGGAGAUCAAGAGGAACACUCGUGGCGAAAGCGAGCUACUGGACAAUAUCUGACGCUGAGGCUCGAAGGCCAGGGUGGCGAAAGGGAUUAGAUACCCCUGUAGUCCCUGUCUCUUAUAU
RNAcentral lists this ribosomal RNA (301 nucleotides) under uncultured bacterium. RNAcentral describes it as "partial 16S ribosomal RNA". It matches the Rfam family "Bacterial small subunit ribosomal RNA", at positions 509 to 808 of the family's 1533-position model. The record is from RNAcentral.